AACGUUAGGUCACACCAAAUAGGCUGUUUUAUAGAUUCUUAGCGAAAGAAAAUUCUAUUUCGUUGGGUCUUUAAGGGUGUUAAUUUUUUGAUUUUCUAUGUGAUUUUCAUAAUAAUCCUUUUAAUUAAAGUCUUUUAAACGUGUGCUGAACUGAACUCCGCUCAGAAUCGUUUUUCGUUACCAAAGAUUAAUCGUUGCGUACAUGUGUACGUUAAAUAAAUUCCUCUCUGCAUCCUACC
Non-coding RNA from Cinara cedri, 239 nucleotides. The record is from the annotation of a GenBank genome assembly. NCBI's taxonomy places the organism in Eukaryota, Metazoa, Arthropoda, Insecta, Hemiptera, Aphididae.